RNAcentral lists this transfer RNA (64 nucleotides) under Hydraena sp. BMNH 840125. RNAcentral describes it as "tRNA-Asn". The record is from RNAcentral. Lineage: Eukaryota; Metazoa; Arthropoda; Insecta; Coleoptera; Hydraenidae.
UUAAUUGAAACCAAAUAGAGGUAUAUUACUGUUAAUAAUAUUAUUGAGUAAAGCUCCAAUUAAU